Molecule: ribosomal RNA, 411 nt
Filed under: Ischnocnema parva
Lineage: Eukaryota; Metazoa; Chordata; Amphibia; Anura; Brachycephalidae
Description: partial 16S ribosomal RNA
Rfam family: Bacterial large subunit ribosomal RNA
Source: RNAcentral
UAAGAGGUCUAGCCUGCCCAGUGACACUAGUUCAACGGCCGCGGUAUCCUGACCGUGCGAAGGUAGCGUAAUCAUUUGUCUUUUAAAUUAAGACUCGUAUGAAAGGCACCACGAGAAUUAAACUGUCUCCUUUUUCUAAUCUAUGAAACUGAUCUCCCCGUGAAGAAGCGGGGAUUUUAAUAUAAGACGAGAAGACCCUAUGGAGCUUCAGACGAAUAAUAAUGCCCCUCCCCUUUCCUCACUAAAAUACCAGGGCAUCUUAAUUAUUUAGUCUUGGGUUGGGGCGACCAUGGAGUAAAAAUCACCCUCCAUGCUGAACAGGACCUCCUUAAAUAAGAGCAACAGCUCUAUGAAUCAAUAAAUUGACACAUUUGACCCAAUUACUUGAUCAACGAAACAAGUUACCCUAGG